GGCUGGGAAGGGAGUGAGGAGGAGUCCAUGUCUCUAUCCUACUCUGUCCAUUCCUGGUGUGC
This 62-nucleotide non-coding RNA is filed under the name Microcebus murinus (gray mouse lemur). Lineage: Eukaryota; Metazoa; Chordata; Mammalia; Primates; Cheirogaleidae. The record is from RNAcentral.